GUACUGCUGAAUAGUCCCAGACUGGGAUGAAACAGAUGUCCAGUAC
Molecule: non-coding RNA, 46 nt
Filed under: Trichobilharzia regenti
Lineage: Eukaryota; Metazoa; Platyhelminthes; Trematoda; Strigeidida; Schistosomatidae
Source: RNAcentral